This is a non-coding RNA of Sorex fumeus (smoky shrew), 560 nucleotides long. The record is from the annotation of a RefSeq genome assembly. NCBI's taxonomy places the organism in Eukaryota, Metazoa, Chordata, Mammalia, Eulipotyphla, Soricidae.
CUCAGGGCUGAGUCUCUGGGGAAGGCAGAGCUGUGGUAGAGAAGAAGAUGAUUCUGCGGGGUCUUCUCCUCUGCCUGGUGACAGCCCCCCUGGGUGCUGUGUCUGCUCUGACCCUGCAGGAGUCGGGCCCAGGCCUGGUGGCCCCCUCCCAGACCCUCUCCCUCACCUGCUCUGUCUCCGGAUUCUCCAUCACAACCAGCAAUUACUGCUGGCACUGGAUCCGCCAGCCCCCAGGGAAGGGCCUGCUCUGGUUGGGGCGCAUCUGUUAUAAUGGAAACACCAACUACAGUCCAUCCUUCACGAGCCGCAUCUCCAUCACCAGGGACACGAACAAGAAUCAGUUCUUCCUGAAGCUGAGCUCAAUGACCCCCGAGGACACAGCUGUGUAUUACUGUGUCCAUUUGCAACCCCCCUGCAAGUAUCGUUGUACCAACUUUGAUCAAGCUUGUCACACUUUCUGCAACCUGUUAGCACUGAGCCUUAAUGAGAGUCAGGUCCGGAUCCAGCGUCAGUACCAGGACCCUUCCCCAUCGCUUCCAGAGCAGCUCCAUAUUCAGUGA